This is a long non-coding RNA of Xenopus laevis (African clawed frog), 169 nucleotides long. RefSeq lists it as uncharacterized. The transcript is spliced from 3 exons. The record is from RefSeq and is a predicted model, not a curated record. NCBI's taxonomy places the organism in Eukaryota, Metazoa, Chordata, Amphibia, Anura, Pipidae.
GAGGAAUAUACAGACUUUGAGGCCCUUGCCUCUUAUUACGAAGAUCACUACUGGGUCCAAUACAGCAAGAACUUCAACAUAAAACACUUCCUUCUUACUUGUAUUGAGGACCCGAGGAUGAGGGCCAAGGAGAACAUUGCCCAAUACAGUUUAAUGCUCGACUCACUGG